UCUUUUUUUUUAAAAAUAAACCCAAGUCUUAAUGAUUUCAAUUUGUUAUUCUAUGUACUUAAUAUUCAAUAUUAAUUUGUACAUAAUCCUCGUUCAUUUUGGCAGUACAUUAAGAAAAUUAAAAAUAAGAAUGAUUUACCGAAUAGUAUGUCAUGUCAUAUAAUGACACAAGUUCUGAAGAACUGUUAACUAUUUAUAAUAUGUUCUCUGACUACUUCGCCUCUGUUUAAGUAAAACAUCUUCUACUGAGUUUGUCUUCAUUCCAUUAUGUUGAGGAUUUGUUAAGCUAUUCAAGUUUUGUUAUUACAGUUGUGGAAGUCCUUGAAGCUUUAAGUUAUUUAGGCUUCGAUACUCUUUCAGGUCCUAAUAUGUUGCCUUCUAUUUUGCUCAACUGCUGCCAUUAUGCGUUAACAAAAACCUAUCUAUUGCCUAUUUUCUCUCUUGUUGUCAACUGGAGAAUUCCCUUUGAAGUGGAAAUCUUUGUAAGCUUUGUUACCCCAAUAUAGAAGUUCGGUGAUCGUUCUUUGAUUAAUAAUUACAUAUCAAUAUCGAAAUUAAGUACUCAGCCAAAGUUAUUAAAAAAAACUAAUGGUUCCAAAGAUGUCUAGCACUUUUAAUAGUAUAUUAAUAAAUGAAUAACAUUGUUUUCGUACUGAAAAAUCAAUUAAUACAAAUUGUUUAGUCUUUAAUUAUUUUUUAAUGCACUAAGUAUCCAGUGGUAAGCAAGUUGACGUAGUAUAUACUGAUUUGAGAAAGGCAUUUGACACUGUUGACUACGACAUUCUGAUUGGUAAGCUCAGGAAAAUCAGUGUUACUGAUCUAUUUUUAUCAUGGCCUCAUUCCUAUUUGACAGGCCGCACUCAAAUGAUAAAAAACGGUAGUUUAGUUUCUAACGAAGUCUCUAUAUCAUCUAGAGUACCUCAGGGAGGACAUUUGUCUCCAAUACUUUUCUUAAUUUUUAUCAAUGGCAUAGAGAAUAUUUUCAGAUAUUGCAGAUUUUCACUAGGUAUUUGUGGAUAAUUUAAAGUCUUACUUGCCUGUGGCAUCAGUUAACGACGGUAAAAAUUUUCAAUCAGAUUUCAACCGUCUGGUUGACUGCUGUUCAAAUAAUGGCCGUUUUAUUAAUAUUUCAAAAUGUGUUAAUCUUUCUUUUAGCCGUCACCGAUUGUAAAUUUAUUCUAAUUGUAUAAUUAGCAAUGAAGAGAUUAUUCAGGUGAACCAGGUUUGUGACCUGGGAGUAAUAUUUAUCGAGUAUCUUAGUUUUAACUCGCGUAUUAAUUCUAUUUAUACUAAAUCUCUAAGUGUAUUUGGAUUUUUAAAAAGAAAUUGUUGUGAAUUCAAAAAUAUAAAUUACUUUAUUGCAUUUUACUGCACAUACGUUAGAUCUAUUUUAGAAUUUGAAUUUGUGGAACCCAUCUCAGUCUGUUGUAUUUAUGUGUAUUAGUGUAUUGUAUUAGUGUUAAGUUAAUGUAAAAAAAAUGCUGUACUUUUACCCCUUGCAGGUGUUAAUUAUAAUAAAUAAAUAAAAUGUUAAAACAAAUUGGUUAUUUUGUAGUUACCGAGAGUAGAUGAUUUUAGUAACAUUCCUUGUGUAUUUUUAGUCAGUGCGACGCUAUAGUGAAAUAUUUAUAGUACAAUACAAAUUGUAUCGUUGUCGUUUCGCCUAAUUGAUCAUAGGCAGAAUCGCCAGUGCUGAAACGUCCUAGACUCUUAGAUCCUAAGUAGUCAACAAAUAUUAUUUUGUUAUGUCGCAAUUUGUAUUUAUCAUUAUCAAACACGACAAUAAUG
Molecule: non-coding RNA, 1788 nt
Organism: Cinara cedri
Lineage: Eukaryota; Metazoa; Arthropoda; Insecta; Hemiptera; Aphididae
Source: the annotation of a GenBank genome assembly